UACGGAGGGAGCUAGCGUUAUUCGGAAUUACUGGGCGUAAAGCGCACGUAGGCGGCUUGGCAAGUCAGGCGUGAAAUUCCUGGGCUCAACCUGGGGGCUGCGCUUGAGACUGCUGGGCUUGAGGAUGGAAGAGGCUCGUGGAAUUCCCAGUGUAGAGGUGAAAUUCGUAGAUAUUGGGAAGAACACCGGUGGCGAAGGCGGCGAGCUGGUCCAUUACUGACGCUGAGGCGCGACAGCGUGGGGAGCAAACAGG
This 253-nucleotide ribosomal RNA is filed under the name uncultured bacterium. RNAcentral describes it as "partial 16S ribosomal RNA". It matches the Rfam family "Bacterial small subunit ribosomal RNA", at positions 524 to 776 of the family's 1533-position model. The record is from RNAcentral.